Molecule: small RNA, 406 nt
Filed under: Pongo abelii (Sumatran orangutan)
Lineage: Eukaryota; Metazoa; Chordata; Mammalia; Primates; Hominidae
Description: processed transcript
Source: RNAcentral
GGCGGCUCACUCAGGACCCAGCGGGGGCAGCGCGAUGAGGCGGGUGACCCUGUUCCUGAACGGCAGCCCCAAGAACGGAAAGUGUAAGAGACUUAAAUGAAUAUGACUGAUUGUCACACAAAAAAGGUGUGUGUCCUACUUCAACACUCAACAUUAAAGAAAUAUUUAUCAAAGACCUGCUGUAAGCCAGGUGGUUGCUGUAUAUGGAACUUUAUCUGAUUUGCUUUCUGUGGCCAGCAGUAAACUCGGCAUAAAAGCCACCAGUGUGUAUAAUGGGAAAGGUGGACUGAUUGAUGAUAUUGCUUUGAUCAGGGAUGAUGAUGUUUUGUUUGUUUGUGAAGGAGAGCCAUUUAUUGAUCCUCAGACAGAUUCUAAGCCUCCUGAAGGACUGUUAGGAUUCCACACA